AGUAAAAUAUCAAACAGAUAAUAACUCUAAUUCAUAGAUAGGUAAAUGGAAGACAUUGCCCACCUCCAUUUCCUCCAUAACCCUCUCCCAGCAGUCCCAACUCCCAAGUCCCAUAUAUACACAGAGAGAUUGUAACCCAAAAUUUCUCUCAUAGUUUUAUUGUUGAGAGUCAGACUGUUUUGUCCAAAAGGAAAUUUUGGCACAGGUAAGGAAUCAAAAUGAGCAUGUAUUAAGGGGAACCAAAUCUUU
This 249-nucleotide unclassified non-coding RNA is filed under the name Hevea brasiliensis (rubber tree). The record is from RNAcentral. Lineage: Eukaryota; Viridiplantae; Streptophyta; Magnoliopsida; Malpighiales; Euphorbiaceae.